RNAcentral lists this long non-coding RNA (1865 nucleotides) under Physcomitrium patens. Its description in RNAcentral is "long non-coding RNA (PPAT_LNC011290)". The record is from RNAcentral. Lineage: Eukaryota; Viridiplantae; Streptophyta; Bryopsida; Funariales; Funariaceae.
GAGAAUCCAUCCAAUUUAAGCAACAUUCAUCCACCAAUUAUAAUUAACAGCUAACCUAAGUUCAUCCCAAGGUUUUCAUCCAAUCUUAAGUUAACUCAUCAUUGAUUAAGUCUCCAUUCAACACCCAGUCUUUAUUCAAUACUUAAUUCACUUAUAUGCUAACCUAAUCGUUCAUAAUUUUGAACUUGGUUUCAUUUGAAAAACUCAUUUAUCUGAGGACGAAUUCGGAAGUUUCCACUUUGACGUUGCUGUGCUCCAGAUGCUCCUUCGACACCACACUUCUUCCUGUACUUUCCACUCAGAAUAUGUGCACGAGGUACUUGCAAUCAACUUGACCUUAAAAUUGCCACGCAAGUCCACUCGUCCGUCUUGGCGACAAUGGCCGUUGAUGAUGUAUUCCAAAAAUCAAAAGCGAUCCCUUGCGAGGCUACAACAUCCGCUCUUCAGGAUAAAAACAACGCAACACUUAGUUACAAGGUCCCUUCCACAACUUCCAGAGCUCAGACAACACCGCAAAAAAUAAAAUAAAAUAAAAUAAAUGCUGUCGAGAUCCAUGACUAACGCACUAGGCGACUAUCACAUCUAUCCGUCUCUGACUUUCCAGUCGAAUUGUCAACCGGUGGAAAUUUCAGAAUCUUACUGACUCAUAAAUUAGCCUCCACUGAACUUAAACCCGACUGAUAGCCUGAGCCUCCAUUCAGCUGAGCGCUGUAAUGAUAACAUCGAAGAAUUCCAAGGAACCUACAGUUUUAACAACCUGAACAAUAGGAGCUUGUCAAAAUUUACAAGAGGAGCCAACUCCUACGAGCAGUGACAAGGCUAUAGGUCAAUCAAUCGAGAUGAACCAAGUACUAUCGAGGGCUUGAACAGCGAGUAGUAUCUACGAUCAAUCAAUCGUAAUGCUCUUGUUGAAGUAGCAUCGACCAACGCUGUGCAGCCUUUUGCCGAAUCGGAGCUAGAAUGGAUCAGAAAUUGUCGCAUCACCGCCAACGUCGAUAACUAUAGAUUCACCGGAUAGACAAUAAGACAGAUCAAUGCCGUCGUCAAUGCAAAGUCGCGAGCCGCCAGCAAAACCAAUGAUGAAGCAGUCUCGGCAAGAAGGGGAUCGUAUUGUCGCAAAAUCGUCCGCCUCUGUUCCUUCGACACAAGACCUCCACACGAUCCCUUUAACUCCUUGCCUUCGGAUCAGAAGUCAAUUUGGAGCAGCGAUCGUAAUCAACGCUGCACUCCACUAGGGCCAAAAAUACCGAGGGAGAAGGAACCACAGCCUCCACAGCAACACCAACACAGCAAAAUCCACAGCAACUUAACUUGGAACUAGAGGCAGCGUCGAGCUACACUCUGAACUUUCUCAGCAACUCGUGUUGUAUCCUCGAGAAAAAAACAAUGAAUUCCUUCACGGAGGUAGCACUCAAUGACAAAAAAGAAAGAAAGAAAUAAAGAAAGAUACUAAGAGGGAUUUGACUAGAGCUCGAGAUUGUUACAUCAGUAGCCUUCGCCAUCACCUGCUGCAUCAAUCCAAGAGGAAGCACAAGAAAACAACUCCGCUGACCGCACUUCCGCCAACGCCUACUUCGAAUACUUCGAAUAAAACCAAGACCAUUGCCACUUGUGAGGACCAAGCACCACUUCCUCAGACACUUGAUUUAACCAUCGCAAUGCCAAACCACUCCAGCCACAAUACCCAUAGGAGCAGUGCUGCACCAUACCACCUAAACGGAACAAUUUAAACAAGAAAAAGUCAAGGGGAACCAGCCCCUCCCUCCACCAAAUUCGGAGCUCUACCAAAAACACAGAAAAGAAAAAAUUUGAAAGAGAGGGGUCUGGGGUGGACCGGACCCCUAUCGGUGAAGAAGUUGCUGGGG